This 77-nucleotide transfer RNA is filed under the name Bacteriovoracaceae bacterium. Its description in RNAcentral is "tRNA-Met". It matches the Rfam family "tRNA". Rfam says of the family: Transfer RNA (tRNA) molecules are approximately 80 nucleotides in length. Lineage: Bacteria; Pseudomonadati; Bdellovibrionota; Bacteriovoracia; Bacteriovoracales; Bacteriovoracaceae. The record is from RNAcentral.
CGCGGGGUGGAGCAGCCUGGUAGCUCGUCGGGCUCAUAACCCGAAGGUCGUAGGUUCGAAUCCUACCCCCGCAACCA